Treponema socranskii subsp. socranskii is the source of this 85-nucleotide non-coding RNA. Lineage: Bacteria; Pseudomonadati; Spirochaetota; Spirochaetia; Treponematales; Treponemataceae. The record is from Rfam.
GGAGCGAUGUCCGAGCGGUCGAUGGAGGUAGUCUUGAAAACUAUUGAGGAGCAAUCCUCCGGGGGUUCGAAUCCCUCUCGCUCCG